RNAcentral lists this ribosomal RNA (433 nucleotides) under uncultured bacterium. RNAcentral's name for it is "partial 16S ribosomal RNA". It matches the Rfam family "Bacterial small subunit ribosomal RNA", at positions 29 to 507 of the family's 1533-position model. The record is from RNAcentral.
AACGAACGCUGGCGGCAGGCCUAACACAUGCAAGUCGAGCGGACCUUUCGGGGUCAGCGGCGGACGGGUGAGUAACGCGUGGGAAUAUGCCCUUCUCUACGGAAUAGUCCUGGGAAACUGGGGGUAAUACCGUAUACGCCCUUUGGGGGAAAGAUUUAUCGGGGAAGGAUUGGCCCGCGUUGGAUUAGGUAGUUGGUGGGGUAAUGGCCUACCAAGCCGACGAUCCAUAGCUGGUUUGAGAGGAUGAUCAGCCACACUGGGACUGAGACACGGCCCAGACUCCUACGGGAGGCAGCAGUGGGGAAUCUUAGACAAUGGGGGCAACCCUGAUCUAGCCAUGCCGCGUGAGUGAUGAAGGCCUUAGGGUUGUAAAGCUCUUUCAGCUGGGAAGAUAAUGACGGUACCAGCAGAAGAAGCCCCGGCUAACUCCGUG